AUUGAACGCUGGCGGCAGGCCUAACACAUGCAAGUCGAGCGAGAAAGGUCUUCGGACUGAGUACAGCGGCGGACGGGUGAGUAAUGCGCAGGAAUCUACCUGGUAGUGGGGGAUAACUCGGGGAAACUCGAACUAAUACCGCAUACGCCCUACGGGGAAAGCGGGGACCUUCGGGCCUCGCGCUAUCAGAUGAGCCUGCGUAGGAUUAGCUUGUUGGUGAGGUAAAGGCUCACCAAGGCGACGAUCCUUAGCUGGUCUGAGAGGAUGAUCAGCCACACUGGAACUGAGACACGGUCCAGACUCCUACGGGAGGCAGCAGUGGGGAAUAUUGCGCAAUGGGCGAAAGCCUGACACAGCCAUGCCGCGUGUGUGAAGAAGGCCCUUGGGUUGUAAAGCACUUUCAAUUGGGAAGAAGGGUUGCGUGUUAAUAGCACGUAGCUGUGACGUUACCUUUAGAAGAAGCACCGGCUAACUCCGUGCA
This 481-nucleotide ribosomal RNA is filed under the name uncultured bacterium. RNAcentral describes it as "bacterial SSU rRNA". It matches the Rfam family "Bacterial small subunit ribosomal RNA", at positions 30 to 509 of the family's 1533-position model. The record is from RNAcentral.